Molecule: long non-coding RNA, 399 nt
Organism: Oreochromis aureus
Lineage: Eukaryota; Metazoa; Chordata; Actinopteri; Cichliformes; Cichlidae
Source: Ensembl
CAGAGUGCAGGAGCCCAGGAACAGAUCCAAGACCUGAAACAUAAGUGGAGCGGAAAGAAAGCAUUGUGAAAUCUGGAGGGAACUUCCAGGUUUCCACGCUGGUUGUGACGGACACUUAGAAGCGGGUGAGAUGGAUAUCAGAGUGCAGGAGCCCAGGAAAAGAUCCAAGACCUGAAACACAAGGAGAGUGGAAAGAAAGCGUCGUGAAAUCUGGAGGGAACUUCCAGGUUUCCACGCUGGUUGUGACGGAGACUUAGAAGCGGGUGAGAUGGAUAUCAGUGUGCAGGAGCCCACAAACAGAUCCAAGACCUGAAACACAAGGAGAGUGGAAAGAAAGCAUUGUGAAAUCUGGAGGGAACCUCCAGGUUUCCACGCUGGUUGUGACGGGACACUUACAAG